RNAcentral lists this unclassified non-coding RNA (377 nucleotides) under uncultured bacterium. RNAcentral describes it as "contains 16S-23S intergenic spacer region". The record is from RNAcentral.
UCACCGCUUACGCGGGCAGUUCCGUUAGAGUCCCCGACAUAACUCGCUGGCAACUAGGGACAGGGGUUGCGCUCGUUGCGGGACUUAACCCAACACCUCACGACACGAGCUGACGACAGCCAUGCACCACCUGUGCACUGGCCCCGAAGGGCUGCCGUAUUUCUACGACAUUCCAGUGCAUGUCAAGCCUUGGUAAGGUUCUUCGCGUCGCGUCGAAUUAAACCACAUGCUCCACCGCUUGUGCGGGCCCCCGUCAAUUCCUUUGAGUUUCAUUCUUGCGAACGUACUCCCCAGGCGGGAUACUUAACGCGUUAGCUACAGCAUUGCACGGGUCGAUACGCACAGCGCCUAGUAUCCAUCGUUUACGGCUAGGACUA